UCUAUCAAAGGAGAAUAGUUACCCCGCUCGUCUUAGGCACCACAACUC
RNAcentral lists this transfer RNA (48 nucleotides) under Crotalus scutulatus (Mojave rattlesnake). Its description in RNAcentral is "partial tRNA-Leu". Lineage: Eukaryota; Metazoa; Chordata; Lepidosauria; Squamata; Viperidae. The record is from RNAcentral.